CCCCUCCCCUCCCCCGGCCAGCCCCUCCCCGGCGUGGCCCUGCGCCCUCUGUGGAGAACCCUCCAAGUGGACAGCUCCGGGCCCAGGCUGAGGCCUCCGGAGAGUCGGAGGACAAAACAGGGCCAGCAGCAGCCAGGGCGGAGGCACAAGUGGAGAGCAACUGUUCUGGAAGGUGCAUCGGAGGUGGCUGAGAUGUGAUGCAGAGAGAGCCGCUAGGAAAUCACUACCAAGUGCUGAGCGUGUAGUACAGUGGGUGAGCGAAGAAGGGAACCCGAUGUGAAGACGGAAGGAAGAGCGACGCAGCCGAGCCGGAAGUGGGGGCCACACCCAGCCCAGGCUUCUGGCUCGGUCAGAGGUUGCAGACCCCUGACGUGGGUGGAAAGAAAUCGAGGCUUCUUGCUGCAUCUUCAAAGCCCUCCAGGCCCGGGCCCGCCCAGUUCCCAGCCUCAUCUGCUGCAGCCCUCCCUCUCGGACCUGCCUGCUGCUCGAGCGCUCUCUCAGUGCCAUCUCCCUCUUCAGCCAGCCCGCCCAGCUACAUUGCGAUGGUCUGGGAGCUUCUCCUGGCCCUCUGGAGCCCCGGGGUCCUCCCAAGGGCUCUCCUCUAGUCUGACCUUUCACGUCCGCUCAAACCCACACUGAGAUCCUGCCCCUCGGGGUGGUGGUACUGGGAGGUGGGGCUUGGGGAGGUGGUUAGGUCCUAAGGGUGGAGCCCUCAUGAGAGAGGAGACCCCAGAGCUAGCGAGUCCCUUCCACCGUGAAGGUCACAGCCAGAAGAGGGUGCAUCCGUGAGGAAGCAGGCCCCCACCGACUCUGGGCCUGCUGCCUCCUUGGCCUCGGACACCCAGCCUCCCUGACUCCUGACUGGGAAAUUUCUUUCUGUCUGUCUGUCUGGCUGGCUGUCUCUUUCUUUCU
Molecule: non-coding RNA, 912 nt
Organism: Heterocephalus glaber (naked mole-rat)
Lineage: Eukaryota; Metazoa; Chordata; Mammalia; Rodentia; Bathyergidae
Source: RefSeq, a predicted model, not a curated record